UACAGAGGGGGCAAGCGUUGUUCGGAAUUACUGGGCGUAAAGGGCGCGUAGGCGGCCUUCUAAGUCGAACGUGAAAUCCCCGGGCUCAACCCGGGAACUGCGUCCGAGACUGAAAGGCUUGAAUCCGGGAGAGGGAUGUGGAAUUCCAGGUGUAGCGGUGAAAUGCGUAGAUAUCUGGAGGAACAUCGGUGGCGAAGGCGGCAUCCUGGACCGGUAUUGACGCUGAGGCGCGAAAGCCAGGGGAGCAAAGCGGG
RNAcentral lists this ribosomal RNA (254 nucleotides) under uncultured bacterium. RNAcentral describes it as "partial 16S ribosomal RNA". It matches the Rfam family "Bacterial small subunit ribosomal RNA", at positions 524 to 777 of the family's 1533-position model. The record is from RNAcentral.